Chrysemys picta bellii (western painted turtle) is the source of this 2563-nucleotide non-coding RNA. The record is from RefSeq and is a predicted model, not a curated record. Lineage: Eukaryota; Metazoa; Chordata; Testudines; Emydidae.
GGCGGCAGAAACCGGUUCCGUUUACAUCCCGCUUGUGCGCAGCGUGGGGCCGGGCUGGGCGGCGGCUGAACAGUGUCGCGCGCUCUGCUCCUGCUGCUCCGCCCCCGAGCACCGCUGCUGAUACUCGCUGACAUCUCGCCCUUCCCCGGCUUCCCAGUGCGGCCGCUGCCGGGUGCAAGGGCGAGGGGAGCCCCGGGGGGACGUAGGGAGACGCGGUUACGAGUUGGGGUUGAAUGGCUGCGGGAGAGCUCGGCCAGCGCGUGGAGACGUUUGUCUGCUGGAAUCUUUUUAAAUACCCGACCUCACUUCUUCGCCACCCUGCUUUGUUAUGGAAACGUUGCACGGGCUCUGUGUCGCUAAUCUUCUUAAAUAUGUAGUAAGAUUUCAAAAGUAACAGUCCCAGGAACAUUGUCAGAUUUUUCUCAUAGUGGAUGUGGCGGUGGAAUAGAAAAAUAUGUAUGAAUAAAAAUGGAGUGACAGAUGUUCUGGUUUCUCUUCAAAUCGUAUAAAUCUUUUGCCUUUUACUAAAGAUGUUUACACAGUGUUGUAGGUUUGUUUUGUACAGUUUGUAAAUGUGUACUUUUAACUAUACGCACACAGACACAAAUGUUAAACGCUGUUAUGGUUGCAUAGUCAAGUACUCAGAAGUUAGAAAAUGUCAGAGUUAAUGUUGCUGCUGUAUUCUUAAUUCUGCCUUUUUGUGCAUAUGCAUUGUGAUACAAUCUUUAAUUAAAUUUCCACAUUUUUAUUCUUGGGACCUAUGCCUCAUUCAGUGCACAGGAUAAAAGGUGCUUGGUGAAUGAGGGAGCUAUUCAAUAUUUUUAUUUAUCAUUAUUCAGUGUGUGAUUUGCUGUACACAAACCAAACCCAGCCCAGAAUCAUUCAUUUUCUUUUCUAGGGUACCCAUCACCAUAGUGCUUGAGUGCCUCACAAAAAUAUAUGAAUGUCUUCACACUACCCAUGUGAAGGGUGGGUGGUAUUACUUAUGCCCAUUUUAUAGAUAGGGAACAAGAACAGAGCAAUUAAGGCCAAAAUUGACCUAUGUCCAUUAAUUUUGAGUGCCUCACUACCCAGGUACCCUACUUGAAAAAUCUAGAAUGUCAUUUUUCAGAGUUGCUGAGCACCCACAGCUCCUGUUGACAUCAAGUACAGUUGUAAGUGCUCAACACUUCUGAAAAUUAGAUUCUAGAGGUAGGAAACCUGUUGGUUUCAAUAGGAUCCUCAAUACAAGACAAAACUCCUAUUGAUUUUAGUGGAGUCACAAUUUCACUCUAGUAAUCUCAAGUGUGGCACUUAGAAAAUAAGGAACAUAAUUAUGAACAUUUUGGUGUGAGUGACUUACAGACUCCUUAUCUAAAGCUGGAUAACAGCCAAGAAUAGAACUCCGUUCUCUUGGGUCACAAUCAUGUUAACCACAAGAUCAUCUUUUCCCUUUCUUCCAGGUUUGGGAUAUGGCCCUGUAGUCACUUUCAUGAUUGGGGAAAUUCCACAUCUCCGGCACAAUAAUAAUCUCUUGCAGAAACUUCUACCCUUUGAACCCGCUCCUGUAGGAUUUACCACAGAAGGGAUGAUCCAGGGAAGUCUCAUACAAUCAUGACCUAGAAAAUUGCUUGAAAAAGUAGAAGGGGAUGAAACAGCUUGUCAUGUAAUCAAACUGAUUAGAGCUUCUGCUUCAAAAACAUAAUGCAGAAACAGAGAUGUGAUAGCAAGCAUGCAUUCCAGAGCACAUAAAAAUGUGGAAAGAGGUAUUUUUCCAUUGCAAAAAGACAACACUCAGAAGUACAAUCUCAAACAGUUAAUAUUAUAUUCUAUUUACAAACCCCAUAUUAGCAGAGGUUAUUGUGUGGAUUGUGGAUAAUAUUGCAAUACACUAGUAUCUUGUUAAAACAAAAAAUGCAUUUAUUGUUUGCCUGACUUUCACACCCAUCUGUGGUUAUUUUCAAAUAAUAUUGCUUUGUAUGAAGAGCAGUAGCAGAGCUUUAUGCAUAUAUAUAUAUAUAUAUAUAUACCCCACAUAUUUUAACAAUAUGUACAAAUGCCAAGAGUUAUUGCAUGAAUUACACUUUGAAAUGUAAAAUCUACCGAUAAACAUGACACAGUAUGAACAUCUCUAAAAGAGAUAGGGCUCAUAUGGGUCAUGAUCCAAAACUCAUAGAAGUCAGUGGAAAGACUGUCAUUUGGAUCAGGCCCAUGUUUACUGGCAUUAUAUCUUUGCUUGCAGCAUUCUUUUCUACAUCAUAGUUUUGCUAUCAGUACCUUCUGUCACUUUUACAUAUACACUAAUUCGGUAAACAAGGUACUCAAAAGUAGCAAGCAUCCAGCCAUCCGAUCUGGAGCUUUCUCAGAUAAGAGCAAACACAAAAUGCAUUACUAUGGAAAAUAUGCCUUAUGCCAAGGGCGCAAACAGCUUUGGUGCCCUGGAUUUAUAGUGCAAACACAUAUGCAUUAACGGUACACACCACUCUCAUAAAAUGUAUUUCUUUUAUUAUGAACAACCUUAUUUCCUGAAAAGCAUUGUUAAGAAUCUAUCUCAAUUCCCAUUAAAACCCACAUUUCAAGUGUU